Molecule: small RNA, 861 nt
Filed under: Rattus norvegicus (Norway rat)
Lineage: Eukaryota; Metazoa; Chordata; Mammalia; Rodentia; Muridae
Description: zinc finger protein 938 like (Zfp938l)
Source: RNAcentral
AAAGAAGAGUCUCUACCGUGGCUUAAUGCUGGAGACCUGUAGGAAUCUCAGCGCUAUAGGCUACAUUUGGGAAGACAAUAGUACUGAAGAAUAUUGUAAAAGUUCUAGAAGACAUGGAAGGUAAUUUUCACGUGAAAGAUGAUAAGAUAAUACCUCCCAAGAAAGUUUCAUGUGUGCAGCAAGUUUUAAAGAAAAGAAACUGGGUAAAAUACACACUGCAUCAAAUAUUGAUUGGGUCAUCAUUAUAUGUCUACACCCUUUUAAUAAGCAAAUAGUCCAUAGUAAAUUGUGGUGAACCGUAUUCUGUAACAGCAUGGCUAAAUUUAAGGAUAUGGACAGUUUUAGAGAUUCAAGAAUGGUUUUGUGGAGAAACCUGAAACCCUGUACCACAUCUCUCUGAGGAAAACAAAUUGAAAUUUUGUAAAUGUAAUAUAGAAAUUUAUUUUGUUAUGUGUUGAAUGUAAUGCAUUAUUCUUCUUUUGCUAUGGAUGUCAUAUGUCCCUAUGAAUGCAAGCCAGGAGAGCAUAGUGAUACUGAAAGAAGCAACAUACCUCUCUCUUUUCCAGAACAGUUAGAAGAUGUACAAUAGAUACCAGUUUGAGGAGAGUUUCUUAAUAUGGGAAAAGUUGAUAAAUAUUUAGUUUUUGACCAUGACGGUCAACAUGUACACAUUCAAAGUGCUGAAUCACUUUAUGAGAUUAGGGUUAUAGAAAUAUUCCUCUUUGUAUUGGCUCAUGUUGCAAAUGUAGUAUUCCUCAAAGAUAUCAAAAUUUAUGUUCACAGCCAGACUACAAACGCUCUGAGUUCAUAGAGUUUUCUUCAAAUAUGUUAACAAUCUUAAUAGAAAAAUUAUGGAAUGAA